RNAcentral lists this unclassified non-coding RNA (496 nucleotides) under Hevea brasiliensis (rubber tree). The record is from RNAcentral. Lineage: Eukaryota; Viridiplantae; Streptophyta; Magnoliopsida; Malpighiales; Euphorbiaceae.
GAGGAGGAGGAGGAGGAGAAGGAAGCCAACACCAAAUGGUUUAUGCAACAGUAUAGUAAAAAUAUAAAUGGCCAAGUAAGUUUGUCCACACUUCUUGCCUGUAAGUCUAAUAACAACAUAAUAGGAACAAAAGCAGUAAAAAUAAUUGUGACUGUAAACAGAAGAAGGUACGAUGCAUCCUCCACAUAGCCAAAACAACAGCCUCUAUUUGUAGGACCAAUGAUGCUUAAAUAUAUAUAGAAAUGCCAAAUAUUUCGACUUCCAUGAAUAGUGCACCAUUUAGUUAUUUUGGUCUUCUAUGAAUUGGCUAUAUGUGAUGAAAAUACCUGUUUCCACAAUUGAUAAGGCCACAAGGUCGCAUUUCUACCUUGUUCGAAGUAUACAGCUUCACAAAUAGAUCAUAUGAGAAAAGCCCCUUAUCAUUGUAUUUUCCACAUCUAGGUCCUCUAAGUUGAUCAACAACUUUCCGCACUGAUGAUUUCAGCCCACUAAUAGU